GAUGAACGCUAGCUACAGGCUUAACACAUGCAAGUCGAGGGGCAGCAUGUCGGUUGCUUGCAACCGACGAUGGCGACCGGCGCACGGGUGAGUAACGCGUAUGCAACCUGCCCAUCAGCGGGGGAUAACCCGUCGAAAGACGGACUAAUACCGCAUAAAACAGGGGUUCCGCAUGGAAAUAUUUGUUAAAGAUUUAUUGCUGAUGGAUGGGCAUGCGUUCUAUUAGGCAGUUGGCGGGGUAACGGCCCACCAAACCGACGAUAGAUAGGGGUUCUGAGAGGAAGGUCCCCCCACAUUGGUACUGAGACACGGACCAAACUCCUACGGGAGGCAGCAGUGAGGAAUAUUGGUCAAUGGGCGUAAGCCUGAACCAGCCAAGUCGCGUGAAGGAUGAAGGUUCUAUGGAUUGUAAACUUCUUUAUGGGGGAAUAAGUAGCAGGACGUGUCCUGUUUGUAUGUACCUCAUGAAUAAGCAUCGGCUAACUCCGUGCCAGCAGCCGACGG
This 504-nucleotide ribosomal RNA is filed under the name uncultured bacterium. RNAcentral's name for it is "bacterial SSU rRNA". It matches the Rfam family "Bacterial small subunit ribosomal RNA", at positions 28 to 520 of the family's 1533-position model. The record is from RNAcentral.